Molecule: ribosomal RNA, 499 nt
Filed under: uncultured Glomeromycotina
Lineage: Eukaryota; Fungi; Glomeromycota
Description: partial small subunit ribosomal RNA
Rfam family: Eukaryotic small subunit ribosomal RNA
Source: RNAcentral
CCAAUAGCGUAUAUUAAAGUUGCUGCAGUUAAAAAGCUCGUAGUUGAAUUUCGGGACCAAUAUGUCGGUCGUGCCUCGGUACGUACUGGCAUCGUUGGUUUCUCCUUUCUGAAGAACCAUGAUGUCAUUUAUUUGGUGUCGUGGGGAAUCAGGACUGUUACUUUGAAAAAAUUAGAGUGUUUAAAGCAGGCUCACGCUUGAAUACAUUAGCAUGGAAUAAUGAAAUAGGACGUUUGAUUCUAUUUUGUUGGUUUCUAGGAUCGACGUAAUGAUUAAUAGGGAUAUUGGGGGGCAUUAGUAUUCAAUUGUCAGAGGUGAAAUGCUUGGAUUUAUUGAAGACUAACUACUGCGAAAGCAUUUGCCAAGGAUGUUUUCAUUAAUCAAGAACGAAAGUUAGGGGAUCGAAGACGAUCAGAUACCGUCGUAGUCUUAACCAUAAACUAUGCCGACUAGGGACCGGAUGAUGUUAAUUUUUUAAUGACUCAUUCGGCGCCUUACG